AGAGAGAGAGAGACUCACUCAUACUAAAUUCCAAGAAAUAUACAGUGUCCUAGAGGUAGUGAAGAUAAUUAAAGAAACAUCCCCCUUGGGCUUUGAAAUCACAGGCUAUAGUUUGAUUCUCCAGUUGAUGUUGACAUUGAAGAGGCCUCCAAGGCAAGAGGAUGGAUUUACAAUGGCAAGACUGGGAUAUCCAUAAGGCCACCAAGUUUGGGACCUUAGAGCAGGUGCAACUGCUUUUACAGGCCGUUUGUGCAGUAAACUCCACCAGUGUUGAUGGUCGAACUCCUCUCUAUAAUGCA
Lingula anatina is the source of this 299-nucleotide long non-coding RNA. The record is from RefSeq and is a predicted model, not a curated record. Lineage: Eukaryota; Metazoa; Brachiopoda; Lingulata; Lingulida; Lingulidae.